GUGCCAGCAGCCGCGGUAAUACAGAGGGUGCAAGCGUUAUUCGGAAUCACUGGGCGUAAAGAGUUCGUAGGCGGUUUGUUAAGUUUAAUGUGAAAGCCCAGGGCUCAAUCCUGGAAGUGCAUUAGAUACUGGCAAGCUGGAGUGCAGGAGAGGAAGGCGGAAUUUCAGGUGUAGAGGUGAAAUUCGUAGAUAUCUGAAGGAACAACAGAGGCGAAGGCGGCCUUCUGGACUGUCACUGACGCUGAGGAACGAAAGCGUGGGGAGCAAACAGGAUUAGAUACCCUAGUAGUCC
RNAcentral lists this ribosomal RNA (292 nucleotides) under uncultured bacterium. RNAcentral describes it as "partial 16S ribosomal RNA". It matches the Rfam family "Bacterial small subunit ribosomal RNA", at positions 505 to 796 of the family's 1533-position model. The record is from RNAcentral.